UACGUAGGGGGCAAGCGUUGUCCGGAAUCAUUGGGCGUAAAGAGCGCGUAGGCGGCCCAGUAAGUCCGCUCUGAAAGUCAGAGGCUCAACCUCUGAAUGCGGGUGGAUACUGCUGGGCUAGAGUCCGGAAGAGGCGAGUGGAAUUCCUGGUGUAGCGGUGAAAUGCGCAGAUAUCAGGAAGAACACCCGUGGCGAAAGCGGCUCUCUGGAACGGUACUGACGCUGAGACGCGAAAGCGUGGGGAGCGAACAGG
Molecule: ribosomal RNA, 253 nt
Filed under: uncultured bacterium
Lineage: Bacteria
Description: partial 16S ribosomal RNA
Rfam family: Bacterial small subunit ribosomal RNA
Source: RNAcentral